This 531-nucleotide ribosomal RNA is filed under the name uncultured Capronia. Its description in RNAcentral is "SSU rRNA". It matches the Rfam family "Eukaryotic small subunit ribosomal RNA", at positions 218 to 755 of the family's 1831-position model. Lineage: Eukaryota; Fungi; Ascomycota; Eurotiomycetes; Chaetothyriales; Herpotrichiellaceae. The record is from RNAcentral.
AAAACCAAUGCCCUCUGGGCUCCUUGGUGAUUCAUAAUAACUUAACGAAUCGCAUGGCCUUGCGCCGGCGAUGGUUCAUUCAAAUUUCUGCCCUAUCAAUUUUCGAUGGUAGAGUAGUGGUCUACCAUGAUCUUAACGGGUAACGGGGAAUUAGGGUUCUAUUCCGGAGAAGGAGCCUGAGGAACGGCUACUACAUCCAAGGAAGGCAGCAGGCGCGCAAAUUACCCAAUGCUAAUUCAGCGAGGUAGUGACAAUAAAUACUGAUACGGGGCUCUUUCGGGUCUCGUAAUUGGAAUGAGUACAAUCUAAAUCCCUUAACGAGGAACAAUUGGAGGGCAAGUCUGGUGCCAGCAGCCGCGGUAAUUCCAGCUCCAAUAGCGUAUAUUAAGUUGUUGCCGUUAAAAAGCUCGUAGUUGAACCUUGGACCUGGCUGAUCUGUCCUCCUAAUCGAGCGCACGGAUUCGGUCGGGUCUUUCCUUCUGGGGAGCCCUAUGCCCUUCACUGGGUGUAGUGGGGAACCAGGACUUUUAC